This 466-nucleotide ribosomal RNA is filed under the name uncultured bacterium. Its description in RNAcentral is "partial 16S ribosomal RNA". It matches the Rfam family "Bacterial small subunit ribosomal RNA", at positions 28 to 506 of the family's 1533-position model. The record is from RNAcentral.
GACGAACGCUGGCGGCGUGCUUAACACAUGCAAGUCGAACGGAAAGGCCUCUUUCGGGGGGUACUCGAGUGGCGAACGGGUGAGUAACACGUGAGUAACCUGCCCUUGACUUUGGGAUAACUUCAGGAAACUGGGGCUAAUACCGGAUAGGAGCUCCUGCUGCAUGGUGGGGGUUGGAAAGUUUCGGCGGUUGGGGAUGGACUCGCGGCUUAUCAGCUUGUUGGUGGGGUAGUGGCUUACCAAGGCUUUGACGGGUAGCCGGCCUGAGAGGGUGACCGGCCACAUUGGGGCUGAGAUACGGCCCAGACUCCUACGGGAGGCAGCAGUGGGGAAUAUUGCACAAUGGGUGGAAGCCUGAUGCAGCAACGCCGUGUGCGGGAUGACGGCCUUCGGGUUGUAAACCGCUUUCGCUCAUGACGAAGCUUUGUGUGACGGUAGUGGGUAAAGAAGCACCGGCUAACUACGU